Daphnia pulex (common water flea) is the source of this 1206-nucleotide long non-coding RNA. RefSeq lists it as uncharacterized. The transcript has 3 exons. NCBI's taxonomy places the organism in Eukaryota, Metazoa, Arthropoda, Branchiopoda, Diplostraca, Daphniidae. The record is from RefSeq and is a predicted model, not a curated record.
CGUGCACUUUUUCCCAUUUUUCAAUGAAUUAUUUCGAAUUGGCAAUCCCAACCUUUCCAGCCCAUUCAUAAACUGACAGUUGAGCUGACUGUGUCUGCUUGUAUUAAUUUUCAGCUGAACUUCUCGAAACAGGAAAAAUAGUGUUGCCUUCAGAUUUCGUGUUAGAAUUCAUUAGAAUAAUUUUUAAUAUUAUCGUGCACUUUUUCCCCUUUUUCAAUUAAUUAUUUCGAAUUGGCAAUCCCAGCCUACCCAGCCCAUUCCAAACUGACAGUUGAGCUGACUGUGUCUGCUUGUAUUAAUUUUCAGCUGAACUUCUUGAAACAGGAAAAAGAGUGUUGACUUCAGAUUUCGUGUUACUUCCGACUUUAAAGACAUAAUUAUUCCUUUGAUUGUAAGUGAUUCAACAGGGUACCACUCAUCGUGUUAUAAAAAGUACACAGCUGUUAAAAAUAAAGAGGUUGAGUCUGCAUUGUCAAAGCAAAAAGCACUUGACGAGCAAUCGGUUUUAGUGGAGUCUACAUAACAACCUACAGCACAACCAGCCUCAGACAGUGCCGUUUGCCCGUUUAUCCAGCAACUAGUACUCAUUCUUUGAGGUCAACAUCAAAAGGAAAGGAAAAUUAAAUAAAUCUCCGGACUGGUCUGCACUUUGAUAAGUGCAUGUUUCGCUUUAAGAAAAGAGAACAAUUUAUUAACAAAGUGGAAUCUCUAAUUACAUGUACAACUGCAAACAUUCAGGCUAGCAUAUUACAAGAUGCAAAGGCUUUGUAACAUAAGAUUAUCUUGGAUAAUUUUGCUGGCGUACAAUGUGAAUUACAAUUUGUAGCUAAGGAAAUGAAAUACCAUAAUUCCUGCCGGAAUAAAUUUCAUUACGAAGCAAGUAGGACUACAGCAAGCCUUGAGAAGAACAAACAGUCAGAACGCACGUUGAAAAUUGAGAUAAGAGAAAAAGCUUUUACUGCUGCUAUUCAAUUCGUCAAAGAUUUCAUUAUAAAUCAAGAAGAAGUACACAGGACGAGAGAUGUUUCAGAUCGUCAUGGUAUGUUACAGACCGAAUAUGGGCUUGAACCAAACGACAUCUCCACAAACCGUGACUACUUGUUUCUCGCCAAGUUGACUGAACAUUUUCAAGGGAAGCACUGCAGUUUCAGUUAACAUUAAAAACGCCAUCUAGUUUUUCUCUAAUAAAUUUCAUCCAAAAUUUUA